RNAcentral lists this ribosomal RNA (252 nucleotides) under uncultured bacterium. Its description in RNAcentral is "partial 16S ribosomal RNA". It matches the Rfam family "Bacterial small subunit ribosomal RNA", at positions 15 to 263 of the family's 1533-position model. The record is from RNAcentral.
GUUCCUGGCUCAGGAUGAACGCUAGCGGCAGGCUUAACACAUGCAAGUCGAGGGGCAGCGGGGUGUAGCAAUACACUGCCGGCGACCGGCGCACGGGUGCGUAACGCGUAUGCAACCUACCCAUAACAGGGGCAUAACACUGGGAAAUUGGUACUAAUUCCCCAUAACAUUCGAAGAGGCAUCUCUUUGGGUUGAAAACUCCGGUGGUUAUGGAUGGGCAUGCGUUGUAUUAGCUAGUUGGUGAGGUAACGG